CCUGGCUCAGAUUGAACGCUGGCGGCAGGCCUAACACAUGCAAGUCGAGCGGCAGCGGAAAGUAGCUUGCUACUUUGCCGGCGAGCGGCGGACGGGUGAGUAAUGUCUGGGAAACUGCCCGAUGGAGGGGGAUAACUACUGGAAACGGUNGCUAAUACCGCAUAACGUCUNCGGACCAAAGUGGGGGACCUUCGGGCCUCACACCAUCGGAUGUGCCCAGAUGGGAUUAGCUAGUAGGUGGGGUAACGGCUCACCUAGGCGACGAUCCCUA
This 271-nucleotide ribosomal RNA is filed under the name Yersinia sp. (in: enterobacteria). RNAcentral describes it as "Yersinia sp. partial 16S ribosomal RNA". It matches the Rfam family "Bacterial small subunit ribosomal RNA", at positions 18 to 285 of the family's 1533-position model. The record is from RNAcentral. Lineage: Bacteria; Pseudomonadati; Pseudomonadota; Gammaproteobacteria; Enterobacterales; Yersiniaceae.